This 138-nucleotide ribosomal RNA is filed under the name uncultured bacterium. Its description in RNAcentral is "partial 16S ribosomal RNA". It matches the Rfam family "Bacterial small subunit ribosomal RNA", at positions 355 to 509 of the family's 1533-position model. The record is from RNAcentral.
UGGGGAAUAUUGCACAAUGGGGGAAACCCGUGAUGCAGCGACGCCGCGUGAAGGAAGAAGUAUCUCGGUAUGUAAACUUCUAUCAGCAGGGAAGAUAGUGACGGUACCUGACUAAGAAGCCCCGGCUAAUUACGUGCC